GGAUGGAGAGCGUGGAAAGCGAAUCCGAGUAGCAGUAAUACUUCCCCAAUCAAUUUUUAUAUUCAUGUAAACAAAAAUUUGUGGGAAAUGAUUUAAAAAAGAGAAGAAGAAGGUGUGAGAGAGACAGAGACCUAUCCGAGCACCACCCACCAGGGACAGAGACCCUUUUUGUAGUCCACCUGCCCUUCUUUUGUACGACAAUGUGUCUUCCCCCUCUUUGGUGAUCUAUGAGUUUUGUACAGUGGACGACAUGUCGCUAAUGAUAUGUCAGCCAACGACAAGUAGU
This 286-nucleotide long non-coding RNA is filed under the name Fragaria vesca (wild strawberry). Its description in RNAcentral is "long non-coding RNA (FVES_LNC001201)". The record is from RNAcentral. Lineage: Eukaryota; Viridiplantae; Streptophyta; Magnoliopsida; Rosales; Rosaceae.